AUGGAACAAGAACAUGAGGAAAUGGUAGAGGAGGGAGAACAAGCCAUGUUUAUAACUGCCCAUGCAAUAGGUCAACAAAUUGCAGUUCCAACUCCAACUGUGACAAUUCACAUUAAUGGAAAAAGAGCAACAGCCUUGCUGGAUUCUGGCAGUAGUUCCUCCUUUAUGAGCCAAGACUUUGCAGUAAAGGCAAACUGUCAUCUACUCCCAGUGAAACCUAGAAAGAUUGCAGUUGCAGGUGGUGGUCAAUUAAUAUCAAAGGCAGUAGUUCCUAACUGUGAAUUCCAGUUGGCCAAGCAAUCAUUGCAGUAUACUUUCAGAGUUUUGCCCUUACCUGGAUAUGAUGUUAUAUUGGGGUAUGACUGGUUCACUCAGAUGAGCCCAGUAGCCUUCAAUAUUCCAGAGAAUACUUUCAGUUUCACAUUGCAGGGAAAAACAACAAUUAUUGCUGCUAUCUUCAAUACACCAGAGAAUGUUAAAGAAGUGCAAGCUGAACAAAUGGGCAAAUUGUUGGAGAAAGGAGCUGAAGCAUUUCUGUUACAAGUGCAUAAUAUAAUCCUGCAAGCACCUGUUGGUUUCAAAACUCCCCCUCAAUUACAGAAACUGUUAAUGGAUUAUGCAGAUCUGUUUGAGGAACCUAGUAACUUACCCCCAAAUAGAGAUUGUGACCACACAAUCCCUUUAAAACCUGGAACUGAACCUCCUCAUACUAGGCCUUACAGAGUCCCUCUGCACCAGAAGAAGGAAAUGGAAGAGCAAAUCAAGAAAUUAUUGGCAGCUCACUUUAUCAGACACAGUCAAAGUCCUUAUGCUGCUCCUGUAAUCUUGGUCAAGAAGAAGGACAACUCUAUGAGGUUAUGUACUGAUUUCAGGAAAUUAAACUCCCUAACCAUCAAAAAUAAAUUUCCUAUUCCUGUUAUAGAGGAUUUGUUGGAUGAGUUACAAGGGGCAAAGUACUUCUCCAAAUUAGAUCUGAGGGCAGGCUACCAUCAGAUCAGAAUGCACCCACAUGACAUUCACAAAACUGCAUUCAGAACAUUCUUGGGCCAUUUUGAAUACUUAGUAAUGCCUUUUGGCUUAUCCAAUGCUCCUGCUACUUUUCAAGCCCUAAUGAACAAGAUCUUUGGGCCUCAUCUGAGAAAGUUUGUGCUAGUGUUCUUUGAUGACAUUCUCAUCUACAGCAAGACAUUGGAAGAGCACAUUAAGCAUGUAGAAGAGGUGUUUAGAAUAUUGAAGGGAAAUCAGUUAUGUGCAAAACUCUCUAAAUGUGUGUUUGCAGUUCCACAAGUAGAGUACUUGGGUCAUGUCAUAUCUGCUGAAGGGGUAGCUACUGAUCCACAGAAAAUCAAAGCUAUUGCAGAAUGGCCCAUUCCUGACAAUGUCACUAAACUGAGAAGUUUCCUGGGCUUAGCUGGUUACUAUAGAAGAUUUAUUAAGGGCUAUGGAGUUAUUUGCAGACCUUUGCAUGAUCUCCUUAAAAAGGGACAAUUCAAGUGGACAAGUGCACAUGAUGCAGCCUUCUCUCAGUUGCAACAAGCACUGAUUACUGCCCCAGUGCUUGCUCUGCCCAACUUUUCUUUACCUUUUGUAUUAGAGACUGAUGCUUCAGGAAAGGGUAUAGGAGCAGUAUUCAUGUAG
This 1638-nucleotide ribosomal RNA is filed under the name Triticum aestivum (bread wheat). RNAcentral's name for it is "partial small subunit ribosomal RNA". The record is from RNAcentral. Lineage: Eukaryota; Viridiplantae; Streptophyta; Magnoliopsida; Poales; Poaceae.